This 2164-nucleotide long non-coding RNA is filed under the name Numida meleagris (helmeted guineafowl). RNAcentral describes it as "lncRNA (ENSNMEG00000008229.1)". The record is from RNAcentral. Lineage: Eukaryota; Metazoa; Chordata; Aves; Galliformes; Numididae.
CAAUUUUUUUUGUUUGUUUUCUUACAACUCCAUCUUUGCAAAGUAAUCACAACGUCAUGCCCCUCUCCCUAGACUUUAACUUCUCUCCCUGGAUAUGCACUGAUUCCUCUUCUCCCUUCUAUUGAUACAUAAGAGUCAAAGAUGAACCUGAGACAUGGAUCAUGGGAAGAAUUUACCUCUGCUUAUCGUAGUCAUGUGUAUCCUGUGCUGAUGUGACUACAUUGCAGCAACCUGAUGAUUUCUUCUAAGACAAAGGAGUGAGAGCCUGUUAAUAUAUAUACUGCUUACCCUGAAGGAAAUGAGAAGCUGCCAACAGCUGAAGGUAAGUAUCUGCUCCCUCGGUGUAAUAAAUAGUAGUCAGUACUUAAUAUUUUUCUCAUUUUUCACUCAGGGAUAAAAGAUCUACUGCAGACAUAGGGAACUGAACUGCUGCUGACUGUUGCUGUCUAACAGUUGGCAAUCCUCUUUGAGUUCUUUUACAGCCCACAGUUUCAGAAAAAUAGAUCUAUAGGACCUAACUAAAGGCUGCCAUAGAGUAGUUAAUGACAAGGGAAGAGGGAACAUUUAAGUGCACUUUAUUUAACUCAGCUGAAGACUCAAUUGCAAUGAGUAAUCAUAUAAUACCUAAGUUGAACAGCAGCUUUUGUUGAAAAGUCUAGUUAAAAUAGGUUUUCCAGAGACUUUGUUUCUAAUAACGGAUGAAACUUUUGAGUAAUAGAGAGAAAUUGCCUAUUAAACACUCUUGGAAUUUCCUAUUUUCGUUGCAGAAGACAUAGAAACAGAACUGAUAGCUUCACAGCUCUUAUAUUUGUGACUUAUGAUAUACUAUUUCCCACCUGUCAGGACAGUUUCAAAAGGAAUAUAAACAAUUUAGAAAACAAACAAAAAACCACUUUACAUAUCUUUAGCUCCUCCACCCCACCCCACCCUCUUCUGAUUAAACCUGCUGAAGACCUACUCAUGCUAAAGCAUCCUGACUAUCAAGCUACUAACAGAAAGCCUCCAAACGCAAUGAGAAUUCAUCAAGCAGGUUACGAGCUUCAGGAAGCAAAAGCCAGACAACUGAGAAUGUGGAUGCAGCCAAACUCCACCUGCUGUGCUGCACCUUCUUCAGCAAGCUGAGGAAAAAGCAGCUCUGAAAAUAAGAGUCUCAACACUUGUCAGAUCCCGCUGGAAGGAAUUUGCAUGUGUGAAGAGCAGCCUACAUCAGGUGCCCUUGCUGUGAACCCAGGCACGUCACAGUGUGUCUCACAGUUCUGAAUGCAAACUCACAAAGGUCCUCCGCAGCAUAGCUCAUCCCAGUCUUUGAGUCAGGCUGAAUUCAAUUGUCAGCGCUUUACAACACUGUUACAAUUGUUAUUCUGUGGGGCCAAGAUGACCGUGAAAUACAGAGGCAAGCGCACUAGAAACUCUUGCUAAUGAUCAUGUAAUUCAUUUUAGCUUCUAUGUACGCGCAGGUAACUCAUGACAAGCUUUAUUAUGAUGAGUGUAUCUGGAAGACAACGAAACCAUCUCAGCUUCAGGUCAUGUUUCCUAGCUUCACAUCCAAGUUUUCCUAUCAAUAGCAAUUUUAUUUCACAAAGAUACAUAAAAAUCCUAUAAAUCAGAGAAAGAUACUUGGCAGCUGUAGCAUCCAGUAAAAGAAAAGUUUCAAAGUUUAUGCUGUAAAUGAACAAAGGAUGAAGAAUUCUUCCUGUUAGCCCAUGAAGAAAUAUGAACUUGUGUUAGCCUGAAUAGCUUUGUCAUUUAAUUUUAAUGUUACAGUGUUACAGUGUUUAGAGCGAGAAGGUCAGUAGAAAUGUUACACAGAUUUUAUGCAGAAGCAGUAAAACGUUUCUUCUGCGUUGUUCUCUUUGCAGAAUGUAAACUGUUAUUUACAGCACCAGUUUAAGUGGUUUCCAUUUACUUCUGAAGCCUCAAGUCAUAUAAAAAGUUUGACGAGGCCAGUAUGCUCUCCAGGACAGAAAAGAUGGAUGAUUACUGCUCAGUUGGUAUCUCAGGAUAGUAUUCUCCUGUAUGCUGACCAGAAGCAGUCAGAAAAGUCAGAAGGCACCACCCUAGGGCAAAACGCUGUCUCGUUUCCCUUUACAAAUGUAAAGGGUGAAAGAGUAUGGUAGUACAAAUAACAUAAAUUGCAGGUGCUCCAGUAGCGUCAAAAGUUUCA